UACGUAGGGGGCAAGCGUUGUCCGGAUUGACUGGGCGUAAAGGGCGCGUAGGCGGCUUGUACAGUCAGACGUGAAAUUCCUGGGCUCAACCUGGGGGCUGCGUUUGAUACGUGCGGGCUUGAGUUCGGAAGAGGGUCGUGGAAUUCCCAGUGUAGAGGUGAAAUUCGUAGAUAUUGGGAAGAACACCGGUGGCGAAGGCGGCGACCUGGUCCGAUACUGACGCUGAGGCGCGAAAGCGUGGGGAGCAAACAGG
RNAcentral lists this ribosomal RNA (253 nucleotides) under uncultured bacterium. RNAcentral's name for it is "partial 16S ribosomal RNA". It matches the Rfam family "Bacterial small subunit ribosomal RNA", at positions 524 to 776 of the family's 1533-position model. The record is from RNAcentral.